This 141-nucleotide ribosomal RNA is filed under the name uncultured bacterium. RNAcentral describes it as "partial 16S ribosomal RNA". It matches the Rfam family "Bacterial small subunit ribosomal RNA", at positions 355 to 509 of the family's 1533-position model. The record is from RNAcentral.
UCGGGAAUAUUGCGCAAUGGAGGAAAACUCUGACGCAGUGACGCCGCGUGCAGGAAGAAGGUUUUCGGAUUGUAAACUGCUUUAGACAGGGAAGAAAGAAAUGACGGUACCUGUAGAAUAAGCUCCGGCUAACUACGUGCC